Molecule: transfer RNA, 89 nt
Rfam family: tRNA
About the family: Transfer RNA (tRNA) molecules are approximately 80 nucleotides in length.
Source: Rfam
GCGGAUUUAGCUCAGUUGGGAGAGCGCCAGACUGAAGUUAACUUCGGUCCGAAAUCUGGAGGUCCUGUGUUCGAUCCACAGAAUUCGCA